RNAcentral lists this ribosomal RNA (786 nucleotides) under uncultured bacterium. RNAcentral's name for it is "bacterial SSU rRNA". It matches the Rfam family "Bacterial small subunit ribosomal RNA", at positions 1 to 784 of the family's 1533-position model. The record is from RNAcentral.
GGCUUAGAGUUUGAUCCUGGCUCAGAUUGAACGCUGGCGGCAGGCCUAACACAUGCAAGUCGAGCGGAUGAAAGGAGCUUGCUCCUGGAUUCAGCGGCGGACGGGUGAGUAAUGCCUAGGAAUCUGCCUGGUAGUGGGGGACAACGUUUCGAAAGGAACGCUAAUACCGCAUACGUCCUACGGGAGAAAGCAGGGGACCUUCGGGCCUUGCGCUAUCAGAUGAGCCUAGGUCGGAUUAGCUAGUUGGUGAGGUAAUGGCUCACCAAGGCGACGAUCCGUAACUGGUCUGAGAGGAUGAUCAGUCACACUGGAACUGAGACACGGUCCAGACUCCUACGGGAGGCAGCAGUGGGGAAUAUUGGACAAUGGGCGAAAGCCUGAUCCAGCCAUGCCGCGUGUGUGAAGAAGGUCUUCGGAUUGUAAAGCACUUUAAGUUGGGAGGAAGGGUUGUAGAUUAAUACUCUGCAAUUUUGACGUUACCGACAGAAUAAGCACCGGCUAACUCUGUGCCAGCAGCCGCGGUAAUACGUAGGGUGCGAGCGUUAAUCGGAAUUACUGGGCGUAAAGCGUGCGUAGGUGGUUUGUUAAGUUGGAUGUGAAAUCCCCGGGCUUAACCUGGGAACUGCAUCCAAAACUGGCAAGCUAGAGUAUGGUAGAGGGUGGUGGAAUUUCCUGUGUAGCGGUGAAAUGCGUAGAUAUAGGAAGGAACACCAGUGGCGAAGGCGACCACCUGGACUGAUACUGACACUGAGGUGCGAAAGCGUGGGGAGCAAACAGGAUUAGAUA